This is a long non-coding RNA of Saccostrea cuccullata (small rock oyster), 1067 nucleotides long. RefSeq lists it as uncharacterized. Lineage: Eukaryota; Metazoa; Mollusca; Bivalvia; Ostreida; Ostreidae. The transcript has 6 exons. The record is from RefSeq and is a predicted model, not a curated record.
GUUGACUGUGCCUGAGACGAUUCCCCACAGCGCCGGCUAUGUAGACAGCUUGUGAAAAUGGUGAGAACCAUGCAGCUCAAAUUUUCAAUUAAUACAAAUAAACUAACAAUGUUUUUAUUAACUUGUAUAUUUUAGCAUAGCGAAGACUAUGAAAAAUAUUGCAACAACUUGAAAUGCUAUAUACCAAGUAAACAAGAUGAGGAAUCCAAAUGCUCACAAGAAAUGACAAAAAGCAGCAUGAAGAUUAACACAAAGAAAUUGUGCCAGAAAAGUUUGAAGUAGCUAUGAGAAUGAUCAACAUUGAACUUGCUGAGCCUUCCUUCUGAAAGUGACUUGACCAGAUAUUUGGCUACCUAGUAUGAGUAUCUUUCUGCUACAUUAAAUAAAAUAUCGUGGAGGAACACGAAGAAAAGGGCUGCGCAUCUCAGCAUAUUCAAGGUCAAGCAGGUUUUUACCAUAUCCUUAGUAUCUUGCUGCUAAAUGAAAGAAUUAUUGUGGAGGAGCAGAGAAAAGGGCACCUCAACAUGUUCAAGGUCAAGCAGAAAUUAGGAGCUAGAUGUGCUUCUCCAGAGCUGAAAACUUCUUGGCAUGAAGAGAAGAAAAAGCAAGAAGAAGCAGUAUUAAAUAUUGAUUACGUCUUCAUAGUACAAUAAAUGAUUCUAAAGAUAAUACUAUCUAUGAAAUUAGAAAAUUGAAGUUGCGUUCUGAUGAAUGUGAGGAAUAAAGUCUUCAAAGAACAGGACACCAAAAGUGCCACUCUCAAAUCAAAGCACUCUAAAAGGCAGAGCAUAAGAAGAACUAGGACAAAUAAAGAAUCUAAAAGAGUCAAACCUUUGGAUGUAGUAAUUGAACAGAGAUGGGCUAUUAGAGAUGAAAUAUCUGAGUUGCUACUGUUUUGCACAAAUGUGAUGCUUUUUUUACGUAUCUUUAAUUGACACAUUCAAUGUUAGAUAAGAAAAAUAUACCUAGUGUUGUAUUUUUGACAGUGAAAGUUUUUUCUGAUGCUUGAUUACAGAUUAAAACUGGUAAGUUUUUUAUUGUUUAAACAUUUAUUGGUUUGUUGUGUA